This 468-nucleotide ribosomal RNA is filed under the name uncultured bacterium. Its description in RNAcentral is "partial 16S ribosomal RNA". It matches the Rfam family "Bacterial small subunit ribosomal RNA", at positions 28 to 507 of the family's 1533-position model. The record is from RNAcentral.
GACGAACGCUGGCGGCGUGCUUAACACAUGCAAGUCGAACGGAAAGGCCCUGCUUUUGUGGGGUGCUCGAGUGGCGAACGGGUGAGUAACACGUGAGUAACCUGCCCUUGACUUUGGGAUAACUUCAGGAAACUGGGGCUAAUACCGGAUAGGAGCUCCUGCUGCAUGGUGGGGGUUGGAAAGUUUCGGCGGUCGGGGAUGGACUCGCGGCUUAUCAGCUCGUUGGUGGGGUAGUGGCUUACCAAGGCUUUGACGGGUAGCCGGCCUGAGAGGGUGACCGGCCACAUUGGGACUGAGAUACGGCCCAGACUCCUACGGGAGGCAGCAGUGGGGAAUAUUGCACAAUGGGCGGAAGCCUGAUGCAGCAACGCCGCGUGCGGGAUGACGGCCUUCGGGUUGUAAACCGCUUUCGCCUGUGACGAAGCGUGAGUGACGGUAAUGGGUAAAGAAGCACCGGCUAACUACGUG